CUCUGUUUCUGAGUGUGUGUAUGAUGGCUGGCGUCUCCGGAAGAGACCAGCAUUUGAUUCUGUAGACUGAGUCAAGGAGAUCGUCCUUCCCAAUGUGGGCGGUCAUCAUCCAGUCCUCUGAGGGCCUGAACAGAGCAAGAAGGCAGAGGAAGGACAGUCUCUCCCUCUCUCCUUGAGCUGGGAUGUCCGUCUUCUCCAGCCCUCGGACGUCAGAGCUCCUGGUUCUCAGACCCUGGGGCUUGGACUGAGUUACAGCACCAGCUUCCCGGGUCUCCAGCUUGCAGACGGUAGAUGGUGGGACUUCUCGGCCUCCGUGAUCAUGUCUCCUAGAGUCCCAGGAAGAGAGCAUGGCUGUAAAGUCUGAGUCCACCCCUGUCCUUGCACAGAUCUGGAAGCUGAUGUCCACAGUGACCGACCGCAGUUCACACCAAGCCCUCAGCACCCACCCGAAGACCCCCCAUUACCAUCUGGAUCAGCUUGCAGGAGACCCAAAGGGGCAGCACGCCUGCUUCUCAGGCCAGGUUACGUCCCAAGUCUUCUUUAUAACUGCGCGCUGCCUUUUAAAUUAAAGGAUGGCCGCCAGGUGUAAACAUUUUCCCCAAGAGGAAGGGAUGCCCCAGAAAUAGACCAAUGGGAAAGUUCCCUUAGUUAGUCUUAAACACGAUUGGAAAUUUUAAAGAGAAAGGUGUUGUUGUACACCUGAAAAUUUAUACAAUGUUAUAAACCAAAGUUACUGAAAAAAAGAAAGAAAGAAAGAAAGAAAACUGGCUCUAACGUCAGAUUACUGAGAUUGAAACAGGUUUCUCCAUUUACUAGAGAUGUUACUUUGGGCAAGAUACUUAACAUUAUUGUGCAUCAAUUUCCACAUUUUGUUAAAGUGGGAAAGAUAAUUGAACUUUUAUAAGUUGAUUGGAGAAAUUAACUAUAAUAUAAAGUGUGUAGGAUAGUGUCUUAAAUACAGGAAGCAUUCAAUAAAUGUUAAUUAUUAUUAUCAAAAAAUAAAUUAAAAUAAAGAGAAAGAUGCUGGCUUAGUACAGAUUAACAAAGUAGGGUGCGAGUGUGGACCAGGCCCCCCGCUGGGAUUAACUGUUUCUGAUAAAAUGUUAUCCGUAUUUCUGAAAAGUCAGCAGCCAGGGCCAGAGUCGAAGAAUGAAAUAAGGAGGAUCUGGGUCUCUCUUGGCCCCUAGAAACCAUGUGGGCCCUUUGAAACCCACACCUGUUCACUCAAUGAGUUGCUGCUGUGUACCUGCUCUGUGCACGUGCUGUUCAUGCACGGAAAAUGCCCCUGCUCUGACAGAGGUCCCAAUAAGACAGUCCCCAAGGUCGUUCACAGAAACGGCCACUGGCUGGUGAUGGGUACUGUGGGGGACAGAGCAGGGAAGGGCCUGAGAGCCCGGCCAGGGUUGCAAUUUCAGACAAGGUGAUGGAGGAGGAAGCCUCGUGGAGGAGGUGACGCUAGAGAAAAGACACACGCAGCUGUGCUCAAAAGCAGACAUGGGCAUCGCUCCCUCAGUAGGAACUGAUGCUGUGGUUGCUGAAUAUUCACACGUCAUAUGGUCUCCUCAGGUUGUGAUCGCUUAUAUUCUACAGGCUGGAUGUAAUUUUUCUGGUCUCUUUAAUAACUCUGUGGUGAUAUUUGGGAUUUUCUAGAAGUCUGUAAGUCCCUGGUGGUCAGAGGAAUCCGCUUAUCUCCCCUGUUUUAGUGACUUUCAACACAUCACAGUGGCACCCAUGACAGGGCCCCAGAGUGUGUUAUCUUGUUAACACAGAUACGUGUCAUGGCAGGAUUCAGCUCACCAUAUGGCACCCAUUACAUCUGAAAAUAAAAAUGCUUUUCAGUUCUCUAAUUAACAAGCAUUUAUUUUGUGGAUGCUCUUGAGAUAAUGCUAAAUGUACAUAAAAGGGCUUUGAAAAUACCUUACGUGCCUGAUUUAUUUUAUAGUAGAUGUAAUGUCAUUUAAAAUACUUCAAUAUUUCCCUAAUUCAACGUCCUGCAUAUUUUCUUCACGUUUGCCCGGAAGGUGCAAUGUUCUGUGUCCCCAGCAGGUGGUGGUAUUGGCUGGCGCUCUGCACGGCCCAGGCUUUGAUGGGCGGUUUCCAGGGCUCCAGGCAGAUGUUGGAGAGGACAGGGAUCAUGUCAUUUCAGAGCCAGCAGAGCGUUCCUGAGCGCUUCAUCCUCCCUGCUGCUCCUAUGUGUGGCAGCAUCGCCCAAUCCACCGAGGCCGGAAUGGAACAGAAAGGCAGAGGAUGGGAGGAUCCACUCCUCUCCCUGCGUGAGCUGGGACAUCGGUCUUCUGGCCUCGCCCUCCCGUUCUCAGCCUUCAGACUGCCCGGCAUCUACACCACCGCCUUCCUGGGUCUGCAGCUGGCAGAAGGCACAUCAUGGGCCCCUCAGCCCCCACAAUCGUGACGCAUGGUGACUUCCACAGCAGAGCCUCAGAGCCUUGCCUGCCAUCAUUUCUCCAUCUUCCAUGGGAUGCUGAGCAAAGGGCCGGCCACUGCCCUUCAGCAGGUGCAGCCUGAGACAGCAAUGUCAUCGCACGCACGACAUGUGGGGCCAGAUCAUGUGUCCUUAAAGGGAGGACGUCUGCCCUCCUUCCCUCCUCCACCCUGUGGCUCAGAAUGCGAAGCUGUGUCUGCUCCACCACAUGAGAGGGACACCAACUUCUAAACUGCUGAAGCCGCGGUUGAUCAGUGUCUGUUAUCCGCAGCUAAACCCACAUCGUAGCUGAGCCACCAGCCACGUGAAAAGCCCUGGGAGUCAAAAAUGAAAACCACCGAAGUGGUUUGUGAUCUCAAGGAGCUUCCAGUUUAGUAGGAUGGGC
Molecule: long non-coding RNA, 2825 nt
Organism: Equus caballus (horse)
Lineage: Eukaryota; Metazoa; Chordata; Mammalia; Perissodactyla; Equidae
Source: Ensembl